CAGCAGCCGCGGGAAUACGAGGGGGGCAAGCGUUGUUCGGAAUUAUUGGGCGUAAAGGGUGCGUAGGCGGCUUGACAAGUCUUGUGUGAAAUCUAUGGGCUCAACCCAUAGUCUGCACGGGAAACUGUCGGGCUUGAGUAUGGGAGAGGUGAGUGGAAUUUCCGGUGUAGCGGUGAAAUGCGUAGAUAUCGGAAGGAACACCUGUGGUGAAAGCGGCUCACUGGACCAUAACUGACGCUGAAGCACGAAAGCUAGGGGAGCAAACAGGAUUAGAUACCCGCGUAGUCCCUGUCUCUUAUAC
This 301-nucleotide ribosomal RNA is filed under the name uncultured bacterium. RNAcentral describes it as "partial 16S ribosomal RNA". It matches the Rfam family "Bacterial small subunit ribosomal RNA", at positions 509 to 807 of the family's 1533-position model. The record is from RNAcentral.